GCGGAGGAAAAGAAACCAACAGGGAUUGCCCCAGUAACGGCGAGUGAAGCGGCAACAGCUCAAAUUUGAAAUCUGGCCCCCCCCGCGGGGUCCGAGUUGUAAUUUGAAGAGGAUGCUUCUGGCGAGGCGCCGUCCGAGUUCCCUGGAACGGGACGCCGCAGAGGGUGAGAGCCCCGUACGGUCGGACGCCGAGCCUAUGUGAAGCUCCUUCGACGAGUCGAGUAGUUUGGGAAUGCUGCUCAAAAUGGGAGGUAAACCCCUUCUAAAGCUAAAUACCGGCCAGAGACCGAUAGCGCACAAGUAGAGUGAUCGAAAGAUGAAAAGCACUUUGAAAAGAGAGUUAAAAAGCACGUGAAAUUGUUGAAAGGGAAGCGCUUGCGACCAGACUCGCGCCCGUCGGAUCAGCCGUCGCUCGUCGGCGGCGCACUCCGGCGGGCUCGGGCCAGCAUCGGUUCGCCUCGGGGGGAGAAAGGCGGCGGGAAUGUGGCUCUACGGAGUGUUAUAGCCCGCCGUGCAAUACCCCCGGGCGGACCGAGGACCGCGCGUA
This 547-nucleotide small RNA is filed under the name Microascus intricatus. RNAcentral describes it as "eukaryotic LSU rRNA". It matches the Rfam family "Eukaryotic large subunit ribosomal RNA", at positions 50 to 601 of the family's 3401-position model. The record is from RNAcentral. Lineage: Eukaryota; Fungi; Ascomycota; Sordariomycetes; Microascales; Microascaceae.